This is a non-coding RNA of Pelobates cultripes (western spadefoot toad), 256 nucleotides long. NCBI's taxonomy places the organism in Eukaryota, Metazoa, Chordata, Amphibia, Anura, Pelobatidae. The record is from the annotation of a GenBank genome assembly.
UAGCGUUACUUGUCAAGUACAUACCAAAUAGGUUGUUGUGGGGAGCUUAUUUGCAUAUGCCUACCCAGAAUCCCUUGCAGUAGUGAGAUUUAAAGUGAGAUUUCUGUGGUGAAAGCACGUCUUAUGUCUUGCCUGUUGUGUGUAUUUUUGUUUAACAUUAAAUUAACUAUAAACUUAUUUCAGGUGGAAGGUUUUUUCAUCCACACUUUUUCCCCACCACAAUUUAUUUGGUAUGUACUUAACAAGUAACGCCAAG